GCAUCAUAGAGGGUGAGAAUCCCGUCUUUGACACGGACUACCAGGGCUAUGUGAUACGCUCUCGACGAGUCGAGUUGUUUGAGAAUGCAGCUCAAAAUGGGUGGUAAAUUCCAUCUAAAGCUAAAUACAGGCGAGAGACCGAUAGCGAACAAGUACCGUGAGGGAAAGAUGAAAAGAACUUUGAAAAGAGAGUUAAACAGUAUGUGAAAUUGCUGAAAGGGAAACGCUUGAUGUCAGUAGCGUCGGGUUGGAUCAACUUGUAGUUAAAUACUGGGUGUAUUUCCUAGUCGACGGGUCAGCAUCAGUUUUUAUUUCGUUCGUAUAAUGACAAGGGAAUGUGGCACUCUUAGGAGUGUGUUAUAGCCUUUGGUCGUAUGCGGCGGUGGAUACUGAGGAACCUCAGCACGGUCUAAUAGCGGACUUGUGUUUAGGAUGCGGCGAAAUGGCCUUAANGACCCGUCUUGAAACACGACCANGAGUCUAACAUNCAUGCNAGUGUUUGGGUGAUUAAACUCAUGCGCGAAAUGGAA
RNAcentral lists this ribosomal RNA (530 nucleotides) under Fistulinella cinereoalba. RNAcentral describes it as "eukaryotic LSU rRNA". It matches the Rfam family "Eukaryotic large subunit ribosomal RNA", at positions 200 to 724 of the family's 3401-position model. The record is from RNAcentral. Lineage: Eukaryota; Fungi; Basidiomycota; Agaricomycetes; Boletales; Boletaceae.